UUAUUUUGGGUUAAAUGAAUCAUCUCUACAAUACUACUAUACUAGCUGCAAAUGCAAAGGCAAUUCUGCAUAGUUUUGGUAAUUUACUCAUUCGUUCAUUGGGACAGUAUUUAUUAAACCAUGCAUUGAUUCUUCAUUCAAUACAGGUAAUGUGGUCACUUAUUUUAAUAAUCCCACAGCUAAAUAGGAAACUAACUCACUUUUACAAUAAAAUGUAGUAAACACAAUAAUAGAAAUAUGUAAGGACAAUUAAUUCAAUCUAAACUGUAGACAAACUUCCAGAAGAAAUUAACUGAGUAAAGGAAAUAGUGGAAAGCAUUCAUUUCAGUGAAAAAUAUUAUGAUUAAAUGAAAAACGAUUAAAGGCACAGCAGUUUAUUCUUGCAAGGUAGUGUGUAGUAUGAAGUCAAAAGCUAAAAUUGCUGGGGUUAGUAUAAAGGGGUUGUCAUGGCAGAGAGCUUGGGUUUUAUCUUAACAGUCAAUUAAGAGACAUCAAAAUUUUGGGCAUAAGAAUGAAUUGCUUGUGAUUGCAAGACGUAUAGAACGGAGGUUGUCUGACUGAAGGCAGAAGCACAUAGUAAGCAUUAUUUCCAGAAACUCUGGAAAUAGAAGAUAAGGUCUCAAAUCAAGAUAACAAUAAAUGAUAUAUGGACAAGGCAAAUAAAUUAGAGAACUAGUUGGAGCAUAACAUUUUUCAGAAAUAUCUUAUUACAUGCAAAGACAGUAAAAGAUGUGACAUUAAUGAUGUCUGCAUUCUUAGCUUGGGUGACUGAAUGAUGCUAUUGCUAUUGUUAGGGAAAUUUGAAGACACUGGUAAUAGUAAUGUCUACUGCAUGGUCACAAGAUGGUAAGGAAAACAUAACCAAUCAUAAUUUUAAAAUUACUUUAUUCAGUUAAAUGAAUUAUUCAUUUAAAUUAAUAAUCACAGACACACACACAACUUGUUUCAUAUGAAAUCUACUAGAAAUUGAUGCCAUUAUGUGUCUCACUUGGUUUACAAAUAGGUUAGAAUGAUUUUAGCAAAAUAGAAAGGCUUGUGGGGCAAAUUCUCUCAGUUCAUUACUUAACAGUACUACCUAUCAGCCUUUUCUAGGUUGGCAAAGCACGUCUCCAAAAUCAGAACCUAAAAUUUCCAGCUACUCACUCUCUAAUUAUCUCUUUCUUCAAAGUUAGUCAUGAGAUUUUGGGCAAUGAAAAGUAAUGAUCCUCUGAGUUGGGUAAGGGAGACUACUGGUAAAGAUUUUCCUCUCAGAUAAAAACAGACACCUAAGAACUCUCUCAACAGUUUGCUAUACCCUUCUUUUACUCCUUUGUACAUUAUUAUAUAAGGACAUUAUUUUCUAGCUUUUGUAGCCCCUUACAGUUCAUGAGUAAAGAUAUGAACACUAUUAUAUAGGUGGCAAAACAAAAAGAAGAGAACUCUGUCCUUGAGAGUAUCAUUGAGCCUCUAAUCUAAUCCCUUAAAUGCUUCCUGCAGACUUGUAGGCUUCCUGCAGACAUAGGCUAACUCAAGGUCAUCCUUGGUUAAGCCAUUGCAAAUCAGGCAUUCUUUCAACUUUUUGCUGAAAGUAUUCUAGUUGAUACAGCAAGUAAACAUAACACCAAGGAGCCUUAACUCAGUGUAGUAUAAAUAAAAAAAAAUUAAUGAUUUCUAAAUGUUACAUUCAACCCUAAUGUGUUGAAUCUCUGUUUAAUAUCCUUUAGAAGUAUCUAAGGCAGAUUGAUAGUUCUGCUGUCACUUAGAGUAGUUACAAAGUUCAGUUGAGUUCAGCAUAAAACUUCCAUUUUCUAUUUACUUUACACCUACUCAUCUCAUUCUACCCUCAUCUCCCUCAUCCACCAGUCCAAAUACAGUUCAGACUUUGAGAAGUACUAGUGAUGGGGAGUUCGGUGAAAUAGACUGAUCUUUCACUCUUUUUCUCUUUCCAACAGUUUGGAGGUGGGGCCUGGAAGAGGAACUUUAUUAAAUGAGCAAAGAUAUUUUUCCUUAGCUGGGUUUGUAAAUGUGACCCUGCAUUCAUUUAUGCUACCAUCUCUCUGUUAAUAACCUUUAGGGAGGAAGAAUGUUUUUUUCAGGGUGCCUUAGGGGGUUUCACUCCACUGCAAGGAAGGCAGCUUUGCCAACAGCAAUUUUUGGGUGUGUAAAAUAAAAAUAUAUGUGGACUUAGAUAAACAGAGUUUAAUCAGAAAGACCAUUACAAUAGGGAGAACCAUUUGAACUCAGGGGAAGGGGAAGUAUCUCAAAAUCAAACAGAAAAAUACUUUCUUUAUAGGAAAGCAUAAGCAAUAAAUAAGUAGUCAGGCAAAGGAGGGGAAAUGAUGAGUGGCAUCUGACAGGAAAAGUCUCCAGCUGUCAUCAGUCAGUUCUCAGGACAGCUGAUAAGGUGAUAUGUUCUGCUUUUUAGUGCAUGUUCAAGUUUGGGGCAAGCGGAGUUAGGAAUUCUGUAGGGACAGAGAAGCCUGAUUCUAAAGUUUGGUUAAGAGAAACCAGAGGGUAGGAAAUGAGUGACUUUGAGCAUUUGGUCAGGUGAGAUUGUGGUGAGGCACAUGGAACUAGUGGUUUGGUUAGCUCUCUACCACUUUAUGACCUUUGUCUGAAGUAAUUAUAAAUAGUCCAUUUUACUCAUAACAUUGACUCAUUUAGGACAACAUAUUACAUAUUUAUCCGAGAUUUAGCAAGGUUGCUCAUGCCUGGCUACCAACUACUCUGCCUACUUGAUUCAAAGGAAACAUACAAUCUUGCCAAAGCAGAUUCUGGAAAUAAACUCAGACUCACUGAAGCCCUUGAACUCCAACCUGCCAUUUCCGCUCAAAUCGUCCUUUCCCUGAUCUAACACGAACAUGGCUGGACAGUAAUUUUGCUUCAUAAGUAGGCACACAUGUAACUCAAGAACAGCAAAAUUAUACACCCUUAUCAUCAAUUCCUCCAAUUUUUUUUGUGUGUGUGUUUGUGUGUCUUUGAGAGUUUUUUGUUUGUUUGCUUAUUUGGCACCCUACUCGUUUGAAGAACUCCAAAUGUUCUCCUCUCCUUCUUUCUCUAGAAUUCUAUGCAUACAAUGGUAGAAGGAUGUAUGAAGAUGGAGAGAGCAUUUCUGGAUAACAGAGUUGGCCUAACUGCUUCUUAUCCAUUCAGGAGGCUUGAACAACAAACCAAACCCUCAAAUAGGCAGGAUAAGUUAAGAAGAAAGCAAAGCAAAUAGUAUCUUCAAGGGAUGUCCAUUUGUCAGCCAUUAGCAGGAGAUAACCAGCUGCUAAAUAAACCCAAAUGCCUCCUUAUAUUCUUCAGGAACCCACUGGGGAAGGACUGCAACAAACUAUUCAAGAAGCAAAGAGCAGACUCGGCACCAGCAACUGAAUGAGGCAACCUAUCAGGUAACUAUGAACAUCCUGAGUGGUAUAAAUUUACAAAAGGUUUCUAAAUUUAUGAUGGUGAAUAGAAAAGAUCCCAGUGGCCAAAUCCAAUCCAAUUAGGAUAAAAACACUUUUCCUCCUUAACUGCCAGCUUUUGUAUGAAAAUUGCUUCUUCUAGAACUCAGUCAAUUAAAAAAUGUCUGCUAGCUGAGUUUGCCCAGCAGGAGGCUAAAGGGCCUAUUAUGCUGACAGAUGCUCCCUGCUUUAAGUUGGUACAGAAUUUAGAUGACUUUUAUUUUCUGCUUACACCCAUUUAAACUGAAUUAAUAUGAAAAAGUAAAAUCAAAAUUUUGCCAUUAAAAACUUUUACCUUUCUAGCAAUAUAUUAAAUGAUUGCAGAUGUCACUGGUAAUCUAUAUUUGUGGUAAGAUGUGAAGUUAUAUUUUUAAAGUUUUAUAUUUAUAAAUUGUAAGAAAAAAUGUUAAUAGUUAAUGUGUUACAAAUUUGUAUUUUGCACAGUUAUGACAAAUAUAUCACUUUUGCAUUAUUGGUAUGACGAGCAGAUGAAGUGGAUGCACAGGUAUAAUUACAUUCAGCUAAUCUGUGAGGAAAAAUAAUUUUACUUACUUAGUUCAUUAAUUCUUGUUUAGACAUUGAGUGGUGGACUCAGGACUAUUUUCCCAGAUGAUUUUUCUACUAGUUCAGAGUUCAUUAAAUGAAGUUCUGCAGUCAUUCCAUAAAUUCAAGUGAAAUGAUAAUAUUUCCUAAAUAAACUAUAACGUGCAUGUAUAUAUUGGAGUUCUCAUUGUUAUCAAGGAUUGAAUUCACAUAUAAAUUCAUUUUUCUUACAAUUUUUUUUUAUGUAUUUAUUUUGAGACAGAAUCUUGCUUUGUUGCCAGGCUGGAAUACAGUACUGUGAUCUCUGCUCACUACAGCCUCAACAUCCUUGGCUCAAGCAAUCCUCCUGCCUCAGACUCCUAAGUAGCUGGGGCCACAGGUGUGAGCACCACACCCAGCUAAUUUUCUGAUUUUUUGUAGAGAUGAGGUGUCGCUAUGUUGCCCAGUCUGGUUCAAACUCCUGGGCUCAAACAGUCCUCACCUUGGCCUUCCAAAGUGCUGAGAUAACAGGCAUGAGCUGCCACCCCGGCCUUAUUUAUUAACUGAAAGUCUAUUUCUUGAAUUAUGUAUUGAUCAAUCUAAUUAUCUAUUUAGAGCUUUCAAGCAGCAUAACUGGCUGAAUUAGACAAAACAAUGAUGUAAUAUAUUAGUUUCACUGUGUCUAUUUAGUCUAUUAAAAUUUAAAAGAGUGGAAGGCUGGGUGCAGUGGCUCAUGCUGUAAUCUUAACUUUGGGAGACUGAGGCAGGAGAAUUGCUUGAGAACAAGAGUUCAAGAACCAGCCUGGGCAAAAAGCAAGACACUGUGUCUAAAAAAAAAG
RNAcentral lists this long non-coding RNA (4786 nucleotides) under Homo sapiens (human). RNAcentral describes it as "HSALNT0044481". The record is from RNAcentral. Lineage: Eukaryota; Metazoa; Chordata; Mammalia; Primates; Hominidae.